RNAcentral lists this non-coding RNA (408 nucleotides) under Arabidopsis thaliana (thale cress). Lineage: Eukaryota; Viridiplantae; Streptophyta; Magnoliopsida; Brassicales; Brassicaceae. The record is from RNAcentral.
CAUAUCUCAGGAGCUUUAACUUGCCCUUUAAUGGCUUUUACUCUUCUUUGGAUUGAAGGGAGCUCUACAUCUUCUUUCACCUUCUCUAUUUUUUAUUUUUCUUUAUUUCUACUCAACAAUUAUUUAUUCGGAUUCAUCUUUAAUUUUCCGUUAUAAUUUCUUUUUGGUAAGGAUUAUUCGCUAUAAUUUGAGAAUUAUAUGGUUAUUAUUUUGAUUCCGAAGCAAUGUUUAGCGUGUUAUUUGUUUUUCUUGUAAAAAACUAGGGUUUAUGCAACUGCCUCGGGUAGAUGAGAAGAUCCUUGGUUCUUUGGAGACUUUUAAAUUUUGCAAUCUUUGCUGCCAUAUGCACUGACUAUCUUUGUAUGAUUAUUCUCAUAUCUAAUCUAACAACUAAAUCCUGUUCUACAA